GGUUUAGGGUUUAGGGUUUAGGGUUUAGGGUUUAGGGUUUAGGGUUUAGGGUUUAGCGUAGGAUCAGCACCAGUAACAACAGGAACGAGGGCACUGCACGUGGGCUCAGGAGAGGCACACACAACUGAAGACUGGGUGACUAUGGCUGGAGAAGGUAUGGCCGCAACAGCGGGAGGAUCAGAAAUGAUAACUGGUGUCACUUCAGUAGUAUUAACGGCAUUUGGUGCUUCACUGGUUUCUACACUGGUGGUAGGAACAUCCUGAACAACUAGAGAAGCAACUGUGGAAUUGUUCUGAGCAUUAUGAGUUGCCGCUUCAUGUGUUACCGCGCUCUGAUUUCUGUUAUCGGCUUUCUGCACGUACUGAGUCCUCACAGGAGCCUUUGUCUUGGUACCCUCGCCAUCCGGAACAACAGUUUGCCGAACUGGGUUGGCGCGGUCUGUUUUCCGCAACUCAGGGUUGUUGAUGUAGCAUGUAUCAUCAGAGUGGCCCACGUGCUUGCAGGCAGCACAAUACCGAGGCACUUUUUCAAAGAUGAUAUACUGCCAAAACCCAGUGUCUUUCUCCCCGAUCCAUAACCGCUUCAAUAAAGGCCUCGAAAUGUCAUACUCAAUGAGAACUCUGGCAACAGUAGGCCUGCUGACGGCGGCGGUGGCAUGAUCGAUCCGAAGCGGUUUCCCAAUGG
RNAcentral lists this long non-coding RNA (685 nucleotides) under Citrus sinensis (sweet orange). Its description in RNAcentral is "long non-coding RNA (CSIN_LNC005452)". The record is from RNAcentral. Lineage: Eukaryota; Viridiplantae; Streptophyta; Magnoliopsida; Sapindales; Rutaceae.